AUGCCUAGGAUGUUUGCAUACCACAGAAAGACUAAUUCUUGCAGCAUGUGCUGUGUUACAUUUCUUGUGAUGCAGUACCAGGUUCUCUGUGCUCCCUGCUCCUCCUCUCCUCCACCAGUGGCCCUGAGGCCUCGUCGCCAUGCGCCCCGCCCGGCUUGCUCUGUGACAGGAGCUGCAGCUUCUCAUCAGUAAGUUCCUCAUCUUCUCAUCAUGGCAUUGUUCGGGCUGCUGGCUAGAGCUGGCUACUGGCUGAUC
Molecule: long non-coding RNA, 255 nt
Filed under: Lepisosteus oculatus (spotted gar)
Lineage: Eukaryota; Metazoa; Chordata; Actinopteri; Semionotiformes; Lepisosteidae
Description: lncRNA (ENSLOCG00000023044.1)
Source: RNAcentral